Molecule: ribosomal RNA, 481 nt
Filed under: uncultured bacterium
Lineage: Bacteria
Description: partial 16S ribosomal RNA
Rfam family: Bacterial small subunit ribosomal RNA
Source: RNAcentral
GAUGAACGCUGGCGGCGUGCUUAACACAUGCAAGUCGAACGAAGCAUUUGCGACAGAUUUUUUCGGAAUGAAGUUGCUUAUGACUGAGUGGCGGACGGGUGAGUAACGCGUGGGUAACCUGCCUUGUACUGGGGGAUAGCAGCUGGAAACGGCUGGUAACACCGCAUAAGCGCACAAUGUUGCAUGACAUGGUGUGAAAAACUCCGGUGGUAUAAGAUGGACCCGCGUCUGAUUAGCUAGUUGGUGAGAUAACAGCCCACCAAGGCGACGAUCAGUAGCCGACCUGAGAGGGUGACCGGCCACAUUGGGACUGAGACACGGCCCAGACUCCUACGGGAGGCAGCAGUGGGGAAUAUUGCACAAUGGAGGAAACUCUGAUGCAGCGACGCCGCGUGAGUGAAGAAGUAAUUCGUUAUGUAAAGCUCUAUCAGCAGGGAAGAUAGUGACGGUACCUGACUAAGAAGCUCCGGCUAAAUACGUG